This 254-nucleotide ribosomal RNA is filed under the name uncultured bacterium. RNAcentral's name for it is "partial 16S ribosomal RNA". It matches the Rfam family "Bacterial small subunit ribosomal RNA", at positions 524 to 776 of the family's 1533-position model. The record is from RNAcentral.
GACGAACCGUGCGAACGUUAUUCGGAAUCACUGGGCUUAAAGCGCGUGUAGGCGGAUGGGUACGUCGGUCGCUGAAAUCCCCCGGCUCAACCGGGGAACGGGCACCGAAACGACCCGUCUGGAGGGACGUAGGGGGACCUGGAACUUCCGGUGGAGCGGUGAAAUGCGUUGAGAUCGGAAGGAACGCCGGUGGCGAAAGCGGCGCGCUGGACCUCUUCUGACGCUGAGGCGCGAAAGCCAGGGGAGCAAACGGG